This 464-nucleotide ribosomal RNA is filed under the name uncultured bacterium. Its description in RNAcentral is "partial 16S ribosomal RNA". It matches the Rfam family "Bacterial small subunit ribosomal RNA", at positions 29 to 507 of the family's 1533-position model. The record is from RNAcentral.
ACGCACGCUGGCGGCGUGCUUCACCCAUGCCAGUCGUACGGUAAGGCCCUUUCGGGGGUACACGCGUGGCGAACGGGUGAGUAACACGUGAGUAACCUGCCCACAACUUUGGGAUAACGCUAGGAAACUGGUGCUAAUACUGGAUAUGUGCUCCUGCUGCAUGGUGGGGGUUGGAAAGCUCCGGCGGUUGUGGAUGGACUCGCGGCCUCUCCGCUUGUUGGUGGGGUAGUGGCCUACCAAGGCGGCGACGGGGAGCCGGCCUGGGAGGGUGACCGGCAACAUUGGGACUGAGAUACGGCCCAGACUCCUACGGGAGGCAGCAGUGGGGAAUAUUGCACAAUGGGCGCAAGCCUGAUGCAGCAACGCCGCGUGCGGGAUGACGGCCUUCGGGUUGUAAACCGCUUUCAGCAGGGACGAAGCUUUUUGUGACGGUACCUGCAGAAGAAGCACCGGCUAACUACGUG